UACGUAGGGUGCGAGCGUUAAUCGGAAUUACUGGGCGUAAAGCGUGCGCAGGCGGUUCGUUGUGUCGGUGGUGAAAUCCCCGGGCUUAACCUGGGAAUGGCAUUUGGGACUGCAAGGCUUGAGUGCGGCAGAGGAGACUGGAAUUCCUGGUGUAGCAGUGAAAUGCGUAGAUAUCAGGAGGAAUACCGAUGGCGAAGGCAGGUCUCUGGGCUGACACUGACGCUCAUGCACGAAAGCGUGGGGAGCAAACAGG
This 253-nucleotide ribosomal RNA is filed under the name uncultured bacterium. Its description in RNAcentral is "partial 16S ribosomal RNA". It matches the Rfam family "Bacterial small subunit ribosomal RNA", at positions 524 to 776 of the family's 1533-position model. The record is from RNAcentral.